RNAcentral lists this ribosomal RNA (465 nucleotides) under uncultured Methyloversatilis sp. RNAcentral's name for it is "bacterial SSU rRNA". It matches the Rfam family "Bacterial small subunit ribosomal RNA", at positions 338 to 795 of the family's 1533-position model. The record is from RNAcentral. Lineage: Bacteria; Pseudomonadati; Pseudomonadota; Betaproteobacteria; Nitrosomonadales; Sterolibacteriaceae.
CCUACGGGGGGCUGCAGUGGGGAAUUUUGGACAAUGGGGGCAACCCUGAUCCAGCCAUUCCGCGUGAGUGAAGAAGGCCUUCGGGUUGUAAAGCUCUUUCGGCAGGAACGAAACGGUGAGCUCUAACAUAGCUCGCUAAUGACGGUACCUGAAGAAGAAGCACCGGCUAACUACGUGCCAGCAGCCGCGGUAAUACGUAGGGUGCGAGCGUUAAUCGGAAUUACUGGGCGUAAAGCGUGCGCAGGCGGUUGUGUAAGACAGGUGUGAAAUCCCCGGGCUUAACCUGGGAACUGCGCUUGUGACUGCACGGCUAGAGUAUGGCAGAGGGGGGUGGAAUUCCACGUGUAGCAGUGAAAUGCGUAGAGAUGUGGAGGAACACCGAUGGCGAAGGCAGCCCCCUGGGCCAAUACUGACGCUCAUGCACGAAAGCGUGGGGAGCAAACAGGAUUAGAUACCCCAGUAGUC